Molecule: small nuclear RNA, 274 nt
Organism: Calliphora vicina (urban bluebottle blowfly)
Lineage: Eukaryota; Metazoa; Arthropoda; Insecta; Diptera; Calliphoridae
Product: U11 spliceosomal RNA
Exons: 1
Source: RefSeq, a predicted model, not a curated record
AAAAAGGGUGCUCGUCUUUGCAUAAUACACAAUUCUUGCAGAGUUUUACUUAACACUCUGAGUGCAGACGCAUUGCAGCAUUGGUAUUUCUAUAAAGCAUUAGCAGAACAUUCGUUUAUUUUCGAUGUUUAUUGUUAAUGUGAAUAUCUGAUGCUCCAGUGGGGUAUGGCUUUGCAUAUCCAGUGCGUAAUUUUUGUAAAAAUGGGAAUGGGGGCUGUUGGAAAAAAGUGAAUUGCAGUUGAUUAACUAGCGUGUCACUUUAUUGGACGCCCUU